UGCCCAGGACUUUCCGAGGGAANCUUAGGA
RNAcentral lists this non-coding RNA (30 nucleotides) under Rattus norvegicus (Norway rat). Lineage: Eukaryota; Metazoa; Chordata; Mammalia; Rodentia; Muridae. The record is from RNAcentral.